GAAAUGCGAUAAGUAGUGUGAAUUGCAGAAUUCAGUGAAUCAUCGAAUCUUUGAACGCACAUUGCGCCCUUUGGUAUUCCUUAGGGCAUGCCUGUUCGAGCGUUAUCUAAACCUUCAAGCACUGCUUGGUGUUGGGUGCCUGUCCUGCCCCUGCGCGUGGACUCACCUUAAAUCUAUUGGCGGCCCUUACGUUGGCUUUGAGCGCAGCAGAAACGCGAACUCGACGCCUGUUGGAGCGGCUCCUAGAAGCUACAUUUCACUAUUUUGACCUCGGAUCAGGUAGGGAUACCUGCUGAACUUAA
This 302-nucleotide unclassified non-coding RNA is filed under the name uncultured fungus. RNAcentral's name for it is "sequence contains ITS1". The stretch from base 1 to 105 matches the Rfam family "5.8S ribosomal RNA", at positions 50 to 154 of the family's 154-position model. The record is from RNAcentral. Lineage: Eukaryota; Fungi.